UACGAAGGGGGCUAGCGUUGUUCGGAAUUACUGGGCGUAAAGCGCACGUAGGCGGCUUGGUAUGUCGGGUGUGAAAUCCCCGGGCUCAACCUGGGAACUGCAUCCGAAACUGCCUUGCUCGAGUAUGGGAGAGGGAAGUGGAAUUUCCGGUGUAGCGGUGAAAUGCGUAGAUAUCGGAAGGAACAUCAGUGGCGAAGGCGACUUCCUGGACCAAUACUGACGCUCAGGUGCGAAAGCGUGGGGAGCAAACAGG
RNAcentral lists this ribosomal RNA (253 nucleotides) under uncultured bacterium. RNAcentral's name for it is "partial 16S ribosomal RNA". It matches the Rfam family "Bacterial small subunit ribosomal RNA", at positions 524 to 776 of the family's 1533-position model. The record is from RNAcentral.